RNAcentral lists this ribosomal RNA (824 nucleotides) under Streptomyces sp. MOLA 1406. RNAcentral's name for it is "bacterial SSU rRNA". It matches the Rfam family "Bacterial small subunit ribosomal RNA", at positions 25 to 864 of the family's 1533-position model. The record is from RNAcentral. Lineage: Bacteria; Bacillati; Actinomycetota; Actinomycetes; Kitasatosporales; Streptomycetaceae.
CAGGACGAACGCUGGCGGCGUGCUUAACACAUGCAAGUCGAACGAUGAAGCCCUUCGGGGUGGAUUAGUGGCGAACGGGUGAGUAACACGUGGGCAAUCUGCCCUUCACUCUGGGACAAGCCCUGGAAACGGGGUCUAAUACCGGAUAACACUCUGUCCCGCAUGGGACGGGGUUAAAAGCUCCGGCGGUGAAGGAUGAGCCCGCGGCCUAUCAGCUUGUUGGUGGGGUAAUGGCCUACCAAGGCGACGACGGGUAGCCGGCCUGAGAGGGCGACCGGCCACACUGGGACUGAGACACGGCCCAGACUCCUACGGGAGGCAGCAGUGGGGAAUAUUGCACAAUGGGCGAAAGCCUGAUGCAGCGACGCCGCGUGAGGGAUGACGGCCUUCGGGUUGUAAACCUCUUUCAGCAGGGAAGAAGCGAAAGUGACGGUACCUGCAGAAGAAGCGCCGGCUAACUACGUGCCAGCAGCCGCGGUAAUACGUAGGGCGCAAGCGUUGUCCGGAAUUAUUGGGCGUAAAGAGCUCGUAGGCGGCUUGUCACGUCGGAUGUGAAAGCCCGGGGCUUAACCCCGGGUCUGCAUUCGAUACGGGCUAGCUAGAGUGUGGUAGGGGAGAUCGGAAUUCCUGGUGUAGCGGUGAAAUGCGCAGAUAUCAGGAGGAACACCGGUGGCGAAGGCGGAUCUCUGGGCCAUUACUGACGCUGAGGAGCGAAAGCGUGGGGAGCGAACAGGAUUAGAUACCCUGGUAGUCCACGCCGUAAACGUUGGGAACUAGGUGUUGGCGACAUUCCACGUCGUCGGUGCCGCAGCUAACGCAUUAAG